UACGUAGGUGGCAAGCGUUAUCCGGAUUUAUUGGGCGUAGGGGGAACGCAGGCGGUCUUUUAAGUCUGAUGUGAAAGCCUUCGGCUUAACCGGAGUAGUGCAUUGGAAACUGGGAGACUUGAGUGCAGAAGAGGAGAGUGGAACUCCAUGUGUAGCGGUGAAAUGCGUAGAUAUAUGGAAGAACACCAGUGGCGAAAGCGGCUCUCUGGUCUGUAACUGACGCUGAGGUUCGAAAGCGUGGGUAGCAAACAGG
RNAcentral lists this ribosomal RNA (253 nucleotides) under uncultured bacterium. RNAcentral's name for it is "partial 16S ribosomal RNA". It matches the Rfam family "Bacterial small subunit ribosomal RNA", at positions 524 to 776 of the family's 1533-position model. The record is from RNAcentral.